UACGGAGGGUACAAGCGUUGUUCGGAAUCACUGGGCGUAAAGCGGGUGUAGGCGGCCAGCUGUGUCGAGUGUGAAAGCCCUCGGCUCAACCGAGGAAGUGCAUUCGAAACUGGCUGGCUUGAGUACGGGAGAGGAAGGCGGAAUUCCCGGUGUAGAGGUGAAAUUCGUAGAUAUCGGGAGGAACACCAGUGGCGAAGGCGGCCUUCUGGACCGAUACUGACGCUCAGACCCGAAAGCGUGGGGAGCAAACAGG
RNAcentral lists this unclassified non-coding RNA (253 nucleotides) under uncultured delta proteobacterium. Its description in RNAcentral is "contains 16S-23S intergenic spacer region". It matches the Rfam family "Bacterial small subunit ribosomal RNA", at positions 524 to 776 of the family's 1533-position model. The record is from RNAcentral. Lineage: Bacteria; Deltaproteobacteria.